GUAGGUGAACCUGCGGAAGGAUCAUUACCGAGCGAGGGUCCCCGUGGCCCGAACCUCCAACCCAUGUCUACCCUACCUCUGUUGCUUCGGCGGGCCCGUGGGGCGACCCACCGCCGGCUCCGGCCGGCCCGUGCCCGUCAGAGGACCUAUGAACUCCAGUAACGGUGAUGUCUGAGCACAAAACAAAUAAUCAAAACUUUCAACAACGGAUCUCUUGGUUCUG
RNAcentral lists this unclassified non-coding RNA (223 nucleotides) under rhizosphere metagenome. RNAcentral's name for it is "partial ribosomal RNA internal transcribed spacer region". The record is from RNAcentral.